GCCGAAGUGGCGGAAUGGUAGACGCGCUGGAUUCAAAAUCCUGUGUUCGCAAGGGCGUGAGGGUUCGAGUCCCUCCUUCGGCACCA
RNAcentral lists this transfer RNA (86 nucleotides) under Gemmatimonadota bacterium. RNAcentral describes it as "Gemmatimonadetes bacterium tRNA-Leu". It matches the Rfam family "tRNA". From Rfam's summary of the family: Transfer RNA (tRNA) molecules are approximately 80 nucleotides in length. Their secondary structure includes four short double-helical elements and three loops (D, anti-codon, and T loops). Further hydrogen bonds mediate the characteristic L-shaped molecular structure. tRNAs have two regions of fundamental functional importance: the anti-codon, which is responsible for specific mRNA codon recognition, and the 3' end, to which the tRNAs corresponding amino acid is attached (by aminoacyl-tRNA synthetases). tRNAs cope with the degeneracy of the genetic code in two manners: having more than one tRNA (with a specific anti-codon) for a particular amino acid; and 'wobble' base-pairing, i.e. permitting non-standard base-pairing at the 3rd anti-codon position. Lineage: Bacteria; Pseudomonadati; Gemmatimonadota. The record is from RNAcentral.